This 576-nucleotide ribosomal RNA is filed under the name uncultured bacterium. RNAcentral describes it as "partial 16S ribosomal RNA". It matches the Rfam family "Bacterial small subunit ribosomal RNA", at positions 355 to 923 of the family's 1533-position model. The record is from RNAcentral.
UGGGGAAUUUUGGACAAUGGGCGAAAGCCUGAUCCAGCAAUGCCGCGUGUGUGAAGAAGGCCUUCGGGUUGUAAAGCACUUUUGUCCGGAAAGAAAUCCUUGGCUCUAAUACAGUCGGGGGAUGACGGUACCGGAAGAAUAAGCACCGGCUAACUACGUGCCAGCAGCCGCGGUAAUACGUAGGGUGCAAGCGUUAAUCGGAAUUACUGGGCGUAAAGCGUGCGCAGGCGGUUUGCUAAGACCGAUGUGAAAUCCCCGGGCUCAACCUGGGAACUGCAUUGGUGACUGGCAGGCUAGAGUAUGGCAGAGGGGGGUAGAAUUCCACGUGUAGCAGUGAAAUGCGUAGAGAUGUGGAGGAAUACCGAUGGCGAAGGCAGCCCCCUGGGCCAAAUACUGACGCUCAUGCACGAAAGCGUGGGGAGCAAACAGGAUUAGAUACCCUGGUAGUCCACGCCCUAAACGAUGUCAACUAGUUGUUGGGGAUUCAUUUCCUUAGUAACGUAGCUAACGCGUGAAGUUGACCGCCUGGGGAGUACGGUCGCAAGAUUAAAACUUAAAUGAAUUGACGGGGUCAUA